This 413-nucleotide long non-coding RNA is filed under the name Mytilus galloprovincialis (Mediterranean mussel). Lineage: Eukaryota; Metazoa; Mollusca; Bivalvia; Mytilida; Mytilidae. The record is from RNAcentral.
UUAACUAAUCACAUUCAUCGUCUGUCCUAUGAAUAUUUCAUCCUGCUCCGUCGCUCAAUAAUUCUUAUAUCACGGUUUUGACACGAGAGCAGGCAUUUUUAGCGACAUAACAAUUUUUCGAAGACGUAAUCAGCGACGUCACAAUAUUUGAAGAAAAGUUAUCAAGCUUGCUUUCAUCAAGCGUAGAACUGUCUGAGGGAGGGGGAAAAUAGAAAUAGAACAGAAAACCGAUAAUCAGGUUUCUUCGUAAAGGUAUCGUAAAGUAUCAGCCGCUCGACACAAUGUUAAUCUUUUUAGCUGCGCUCACUCGCCAAAGGUUCCUAUUGUGGCUCGUUGCUGCUAUUUUACGAUAUCAAUAUGUAGAAAACUCGAUAAUCUAUACUUCUGUGCGUCUUUUGCAUUGAAUAUAUAAG